UACGAAGGGUGCUAGCGUUGUUCGGAAUUACUGGGCGUAAAGGGCGCGUAGGCGGCUUGGCAAGUUGGAUGUGAAAGCCCAGGGCUCAACCCUGGAACUGCAUUCAAGACUGCCUUGCUUGAAUUCGGUAGAGGUUGGUGGAAUUCCCAGUGUAGAGGUGAAAUUCGUAGAGAUUGGGAAGAACACCCGUGGCGAAGGCGGCCAACUGGACCGACAUUGACGCUGAGGCGCGAAAGCGUGGGGAUCAAACAGG
RNAcentral lists this ribosomal RNA (253 nucleotides) under uncultured bacterium. RNAcentral's name for it is "partial 16S ribosomal RNA". It matches the Rfam family "Bacterial small subunit ribosomal RNA", at positions 524 to 776 of the family's 1533-position model. The record is from RNAcentral.